Molecule: long non-coding RNA, 5636 nt
Filed under: Nicotiana tabacum (common tobacco)
Lineage: Eukaryota; Viridiplantae; Streptophyta; Magnoliopsida; Solanales; Solanaceae
Description: long non-coding RNA (NTAB_LNC015025)
Source: RNAcentral
ACACUUCCACUUCCAGACUCCUGUACUGGACUACAUUUAGACUUUAGAAAGAGAAACCCUAAGUCCUAACAUCUAAAAUUCUUAGCAACAACAAUUCACAACACAACAACCAACCUCUCGCCUCUUCCUCUCGACUCUCGAGUCUCGCCGACUGCCUGACUCGCCGUCUCGGCUCUUCCUCUCGUCGUCUCGCCUCUCCCUCUCGCCAUAGCCAGAGCCUAGAGCAGCAGAUGGUAAGUUUCUUUUCUUGUUGAUGUCUUCAGAAUAUUCGGUCCUCACUGUUGUUUACACCUUUAAAUUCAGAGAGCAUCUCAAAGUAUUCAGCCAUUUCACGGAUCUCCAAUCACUGAGAUUUAUUCUGAAAUUGACAUUCCAAUUGUUGCCUUCUCUACCUUGUGUUGUUUUGAGAUCGAUGUUUGACAGUUUCUCUACCUUGUGUUGUGGAUUUUGGCAAAAAAGUUCCACUCUAGGUACUUAUUUCCAAUUUCUUUGAAGUGUUGAAAUAUCUUAGUAACGACGAAAUUCCAGCUUUACUCAUGGACUUAAAUCUUCUGUAGAUAUCAUCAAAGGCAUUUGGAGUACAUCGGUCUUUAUAUUAAAUAUCCAUUAGUAUAGUUUAUAGAUGCUGGAAAUUCAAUUUGGCUUGUAGCUUUUAGCCUAUGUUUCGAGUCAUUCUAAUGAUAGAUCUUAGGAGCUAGAAAUUAGAAAUACAAUUUGUCGAACAUGAUAAUAUUAUGGAUAUGGUUAAGAAGGCGGCCAAAAAUCUGAUUUAGAAAUACUACUAGUAUUUAGGGAGAAUAGUAUCUGAUUCCUUUUAUUUUUACUUUGUUUGACAGGAUAUUUGAAGGCUAUUACUUGUAAGUAUCUUCAUAUCCGCUAAUGGAGUAUCUAGCUGCUGCUUUAUCUAUUCUUGGAUGUUGUUUCUUCUAAGUUUACCCCCUCUGUUUUUGUUUUUAUUUGGUUAUUGUUUUUGUUUUUAUUUGGUUAUUAUUCUCUUUUGUAUUUCAAUAGAGAAAUUUGGAUAGAUUAUUGAUGAGAAGUAUUGAGCCUGUUUCAAUGGUAUCAAGCUUGUUCACUGGAACGAGUUUUAUAUUGAAGAAAGGUCUCAAAGAUGCUGCUGCUGGAACUCGUGCAGAUUUGAAAUGCUAUCUCUCUGUGUUUCUUAGAUAUUUACUUCGAUUUAUUACACGAUUUACUAAUUAAAAAGGCACAAUCUAAACCGAUAACUGCCCGAUAAUAGCUAAACGGAUACCAAUCCGCCCGAUAUCUUAUCGGGUGGCUAGCAGAUUAAUACAUUUAAAAGCCGAUAACCGAUAAGCCGAACCGAUAAGAGUAAAUAACCGUCCGAUCCGCCCGAUAAGCAGCCCUAAUUACAGACUCGGAUAGAAAUUUAACUUCUUCAGGUAAGUUCCCAAAUUUGACUUCAUUCUACCUCUACAGUGUACUUCUUGUACAAUUGUUCUUGCUAUUUCUUAUGGUGUCCUCUUCUUCUGUUGGAAUAUUCUAUAAUUCCUCUCUUACCAUAAGUGAUAAGUUCUACAAGCCAAGCUCAUUCUGUAGAUUUCUGCUAGCGAGUUCUUUCCAUUAGCUUGCACUCUAAUCCAUAGGAUUUCUAUUGAUGCCGAGCCACUUCAGGAUAUACAGCCACACCUUUGCAGAUGAUCUGCAUAAAUGUUGGUGGCUCUCUUGUUCAUCUUCACACAGUGCACAAGCAGGGUCAGUCCACAUACCCCAUUUGAUGAGCCUAUCCUUGGUAUAUAGUCGCUCUUGAAUUGCCAGGAACAAUAUGAACACCCACUUAAGGCUUUCUUGGUUGUUACAUAUCAUCUUCUUCCACCUUAUUUUUGGGAGUUCUCCUCUUAGCAUAUUGUACAUUCUUCUUAUAGAGAAUUUCCAAUCCACCACAGCUUCUUCUAUCCUCACUGCUGCCCUUUCCAGAUAUCUCCUCGCAUUGAUGAUCUUUCGAAUAGUCCACGAGGCAUUUUUGGCAUCCACAUCAAUUAUAUCCCUGCCUUUUAUAUAAUAAGUAUGUACCCACUUAAUCCAUGACUUGUCAUUUUUUUAGACAAGUUCCAGUAAUGUUUCAGAAUUGCAGCUUUGUUCCAUAUUUGUAUAUCAGCGAUAUUCAUUCCCCCAGCUGUCUUAGGUAGACACAAUUGGCUCCAUGCCACCAAUGCCUUCUUUUUUACUUCUGUAUUUUCCGUCCAGAGAAAAGUCCUACAUACAGCUUCAAUCUUGUUUACGACCUUCUUAGGCAACUGGAAUAUCUGAUACCAAUAAGACUGUAUGGCUAUGAGCACACUUUUAAUUAGUUGAAACCUCCCUGCAUAUGGUAGAAAUUUAACAGUUCAAUUGGCAUUGUGCUACAACCAACCUUUUGAAACUUAGUGGCACUACAAGGUACUUAAAAGGUAAUGUACCGACAGAGAAUCCAAGUUGUUGCACUAUCUCAUGUUGUACAUGGUCAAACACUCCUCCAAAGUAUAUACUACUCUUAUUUAUGUUAGCAAUCAAUCCCGAGUCUUUGAAGAAAUGUUGAAAGUACUCGAAUAGUAGUUUAGUUGAUACCACAUCUCCUCUGCAAAACAUGAGGAGGUCAUUAGCAAAUCCAAGUUGUAUUAUGCCCAAACUCUCACAUCUAGGGUGAUAAUUGAAAUCUAGAUUCCCCUUUAGUGUUCUGAGUAGUCUAGUAAGAUACUCCAUGGCAAGUACAAACAAAUAAGGGGAUAACGGAUUACCCUGCAUGAGCCCUUUCUUGCCUCAAAUGGUGGUGUUGGAUUUCCAUUUAUAACAAUUGAGUAGGAAACAAUUCUGAAGCAGCUUCUAAUCAAUGUGAUGAACCUUUAUGGGAAGUUCAUAUUUGACAGUAUCUGCUCCAAACAAAAAACAGUUCUAGUGAAUCAUAGGCCUUUUGCAUGUCCAUUUUGAUCAUAAUCCUUGGUGACACUCAUUUUCUACCAUAUCCUUUGAUGAUUUCAUUGCUUAACACCACAUUAUCAUGAAUGACUCUUCCAGGAACAAAUGUAUUUUGACUGCAAUCUACUAAUGGAUCCAUGACCUGUUGCAAUCUGUUGGUGAUCAUUUUGGAAAUGAUUUUGUACAAUGUUGUGUUGCAAGAUAUAGGUCUAUACUCCUUGAUGGUGGCAGGGUGUUUUACUUUUGGUAUCAAAGUAACUGAAGUGCAAUUUAUAGGUCUAUACAUAUCAGUUGUCUCGAAGAAUCUAAGCACUUCAUUUGUUACCUCAUCUCCCAGUAUGUGCCAAGUUUUCAAGAAGAAUAGUUAGUUAAAUCCAUCACACCCUGGGGCUUUCAAUGUGUCUAUCCCUUCCAAUGCUUGAAACACUUCAUCCUUUGUGAAUGGCCUGAUUAAUUGAAGUUGCUGAGCUCAUUUCAAAUUUGGCCCUUCCUUCAUGAUGUUAGGAUUGAUGGCAGGUAAAUUGUUCUGGCUUGAGCCUAGUAGGCUUUUGUAAAAGCCAAUAAUCUUUUCUCGUAUAUCCUCUGGCCUUUGUAAUAACCUCCAUGUUGUGGAUGUAAGCUGCGUGAUAUAAUUUUGUGCUCUUCUCCCUUUCAUGUUAGCAUAGAAGUAAGCUGAAUUAGAGUCACCUAACUUGAGCCAUUGAACCCUAGAUUUUUGCAUGUAGAUGCUCUCCUCCAUUAUGCUCCACUUUUCAAGUUGCUUCUUUAGCUCCUUCUCUUCUUCAAACUAUUCUGUGUUAUGGCUUAUGUCCCUCAUUUGUGCUUGUAAUUCCUUCAGCUUAUCCCUUAUGUUUUGAAUUUUAGUCUCCACUCUUAUAAACUCCUUGUUGUUUAAUCUCUUCAGGGCUCCUUUAACAUUAUUCAGUUUUAACCAUACAUUCAUCAUGCCUUGUGCCGGCCUAUGGAUUGACCAACUGCUCUUAACUAUCUCUGCAAACUCAUCAUGAUUUGCCAAGCAAUUUAGAAAUCUAAAAGGCUUCUUUCUAAUGAUGUUUUCCUCUCCGUCUCAAUGCAUAAAGGAGAGUGAUAUGAGAAGUAUGGGUCUUUGAUAUGAACUAGUAAAGGAGGCAUAGUAUUCAUCCACUGUGCAUUCAUUAGUGCUCUGUCUAUUCUGCUAUAUACAUGGUUGUUCGUCCAUGUAAAUGUUCUCCCAAUUGUUUGAAGUUCAGUAACCCCAACACUCCUCUAUGAAUCUUCUGAAGUCCCUAGUUUCAUAUUCAUGUACCUCAUUUCCAUGUGAUAUAUCCGCCACAUCUAGAACUGAUUUAAAGUCCCCCAUUAUCAACUAUGGAUGCUCCUUUAUUUCUCUCAGCUUCCUCCAUAACUCCUUCAUUGUUGGAACAGUAUGCAAGUCAUACACCGCUGAAAAGUGAAUAAUAGUGUUGUUGUGUCUUGACUGAAUAAUCCCAUGAAUGAGUCAAUAGGGUCCCAUACUAUUCAUAUACGAUCUCUAGUUGUAGUAGAUCCAUUAGUACACCAUUCCCAGCCAUAAGCUAUUUUAUUUACAAUCUUUGCAAUCUUAUUGCUACUAACACUGUUUUAAAAGGCGUUUCUGGGGCGAAAGUCUCAAGAGGCAUACGCCCUGCAAUUUGGGGCGUUACGCCCGGGCGUUCGGGGCGUACGCCCAGAGACUUUUUCAAAUUAAAACAAAAUUUGUUGAAUUAGUCCUUUAUAUAACACCCAAAUUCUCAAAAGUCAGUUUGGUAAUUACUCAAAAGGUUUAAAAAGGAACUCAAAAGUAUUAAAUUUAAAAGUGAAGACCCUUUUUAUUGAUUUAAGCUCUAAUUCAUGAUUUUUUCAAUUUUUUAUCUUUUCCGCUAGUCUGCUAAUAUCUCCCAAAAGCAACGAAUAUACUUUAUUUUCCUUCAAAAAUUCCUUCAGCUCCUUUUGCUUAUAUACUUUAUUUAUCCCCCUGACAUUCCAUGUGACAAUCUUCAUUUGGAAUAUUGAGAUGAUGGAGUAGUUCUUUUGCAAUUUAUGGUAGUUUUGAUUUGUAAGUAAUUUGAUAUGUAAUGAUAUGUGGUUUAGUCAUUUUACAAAACUGAAGUUUGCUAUUUCGCUAUCACUAUGUUCAUCAAGGAGAAGUAAUAAUAUAUGGUACGUUUUCUUUGUUUCUACAGAUUUUGACUGCGAUGACUAUGUCCAGGUAUUUAAAAAAAAUCACAAUUGAAUAUAUCAGACUUCUUUCCUUCAUUCUUUUCACCAACUUAUGUUAAACUGUCCAAAAACCCUCUAUAAAAUUUUUCGAGUCUCAUCCAAUUCCUCCCUGCUUGAAAUUCAGGUAGUAGGAAAAUUUAAUUCGAGGGCGUUUAGUGCUGUAUGGAAAGCAAGGUUGAAAGAGCUCUAAUUUUAUGGAGAAAUUGCAAAGGGUCAGAAUCGAACAGUGAAGCAGAAGUUGGAGUAUUAUACUCAGAAUCUCUUUGUGUUGUUCUUCGGUUCUAAGCAGUCGGUAAUGAUGAUACAGUCAAAUCUCUCUAUAACAGCCUUGUUCCGAAAUUUUUUGACUGCUAUAGUGAAGAAACUUUUUGACUUCUCUAUGACAAUCUUGUUCCGAAUUUUUUUGACUGCUAUAGUGAAGUAGUGAUGUUAUAGAGGACAUAUUAUAACAUAAUAUAAUAUUUGAUUCCGAGAAAACUGUUAUAAAAAAGUCUGACUGUAUA